RNAcentral lists this ribosomal RNA (396 nucleotides) under uncultured Pleomorphomonas sp. RNAcentral describes it as "bacterial SSU rRNA". It matches the Rfam family "Bacterial small subunit ribosomal RNA", at positions 386 to 774 of the family's 1533-position model. The record is from RNAcentral. Lineage: Bacteria; Pseudomonadati; Pseudomonadota; Alphaproteobacteria; Hyphomicrobiales; Pleomorphomonadaceae.
AUCCAGCCAUGCCGCGUGUGUGAAGAAGUUCUUCGGAUUGUAAAGCACUUUAAGUUGGGAGGAAGGGUUUCUGGCUAAUAUCCAGGAAUUUUGACGUUACCGACAGAAUAAGCACCGGCUAAGUUCGUGCCAGCAGCCGCGGUAAUACGAAGGGUGCAAGCGUUAAUCGGAAUUACUGGGCGUAAAGCGCGCGUAGGCGGACAUUUAAGUCAGAGGUGAAAUCCCAGGGCUCAACCCUGGAACUGCCUUUGAUACUGGGUGUCUUGAGUACGAGAGAGGUGAGUGGAAUUCCGAGUGUAGAGGUGAAAUUCGUAGAUAUUCGGAAGAACACCAGUGGCGAAGGCGGCUCACUGGCUCGUAACUGACGCUGAGGUGCGAAAGCGUGGGGAGCAAACA